Long non-coding RNA from Lagenorhynchus albirostris (white-beaked dolphin), 1534 nucleotides. RefSeq lists it as uncharacterized. The transcript has 2 exons. The record is from RefSeq and is a predicted model, not a curated record. Lineage: Eukaryota; Metazoa; Chordata; Mammalia; Artiodactyla; Delphinidae.
UCCCACAUGCCGCAGCGGCUGGGCCCGUGAGCCAUGGACGCUGAGCCCGUGCUCCGCAACGGGAGAGGUCACAACAGUGAGAUGCCCGCAUACCGCAAAAAAAGAAGAAAAAAAAAAAACCAGAUGGAAUAUUAUAACCUAGAAAAAUCCCUGACAGAAUUUAAUAUGAAAACAAAAGCUCUGUGUACACUCUGUUCCAAUAUGUAUAGACAAUAAAAAAAUGAAUAUUUGUUGUGAGGGGCAACAAGAUUAAAGGUGAUUUUGUCAAUGAUAAAUGUGUGUACAUGGCGGAAUAAACAGUCACGACUGAAGCUACACUACUAAUCAUCUCUGCCUCAAUAAUGUCACCAUAGACAUUCUCUCUACAUUCAGACAUCUUUUAGAGAGAAAAGUGCAUCAUUUAAGUCAAUUUACUUGUUCUAAAUACUCCCUGUGAUUCAGUUGUUGCUUUGACACAAUUUCUCAACAGAAUAUAUCAUCCAGCCAAUCAAACAGAAUAAUGGGGCGACUCCAUAGCAAAAGAGUCAAAGCCUGCUUACGUGGCAGUGAGUUAUCCACUUAGCGACUAGCUGUGCCCCACUGUGGCUCAGAGCACCAUUAACAAAAGGCUGAUAGAGAAAUGCCCCAAAAGAAGGAAAGAAAGACACUUAAUAUAUGAGGUUACUCCCCAAACGGUCUGAUUUUCCAAAAACAAAUGCAAAUGAUUUGGGCAUUGCUUUUUAUAUUACCUAUAGAAGCCUUGUAAAUAAGAUUUUAAAUGCAUCCCUUUCAAAAUGAGAGAGGAAGCCAGUAGGACAUCAAAAAGAACCACAUCUUCUUGCUAUUUGAACUAAUUAUCUUAUUAAAAAUUGUUUUCAUUUUUAAUAGUGAAAUCUUCCCUCUACCUAGCUAACUCCUCCCUACACUGCUAAGAAAAAUAAUAAAUAAAAAGCUCUAUAGUAAGGAGUUUAAUAAAACCGAAGUUAAAAUCUAAAACAUGAAGUCACUAUUACCUAGAUUAAGCCUUGAAAUGUUUAAACUUCAGGGGAUGCCAACCACCUGAAUGCAGACCUCACUUGAUUUGUACCUGUGGGUCCUGAACGAUUGGCUCAAUUUUCACUGUCCCGUAAUUCAAGUUCUCUAACUUUGAGUACACUGUGCUAUCGACAGAAAUGGGAAACUCUCCCAGUGAGCUACUUGGAGGCUUCAACCCUAAUCUGAAGAUGUUGCAGCAGUAAUACAGACUAGGAUGUCUGGCCUCCCUGAGCCAAAGAGCACAAAAUUCUUCUCACUCACUGACUAAAGAGACGGAAAGUUUUCUCUCUCCUCACACAGUGAAAGCAAGGAAGAACAGCAACGUUCUCAGCACCUCGUUCUUGCACCAUGCAUUCAACAAACAUGGUUAAAGAGAGCAUCUGCCGUGUGCAGAAAAGGAUAUGCGUCCUCAGAAGCGAUGAAGGAAAACUCCAGACCAUAAGUGUAGAAAGAAAAGUUCCCUACUCCCUCAGAUGGUAGCCGAGGAAAAUAAAAUGUGAAGUGAUUUUUCUUGACAUAA